GUUUUCUUUGACAAAGUUGUACGUGAUGUGUGUCCUCCGUUUGCCCUCAUAAGCGUUGUGUAUUCUGACGUAAAUAUAAUCCUAUUUGUAAGCAGUUAUCUUAUGACCCAGUUGAAAGGAAGGAACUUUUGAUGAACGAGUGUCAAUGAAAAACUGAUAAAGAUGGGAGAUGGUUUGCAGCAAUUGUAUAUGGCAAAAUCCCUUAGUGAGCUUAACAAUCAGGUUAAAGAUAUCCCGAAGGCACCUCCAAAAUUGUUGGUUAAAACUGCCCAGCGAGUGUUGAAAGAAGCACAGUUAGUUGAUGGAAGGAAAGAUGAAGAAAAGUCUUACGUUCUAUAUAUGAGAUAUUUCUCAAUUGUUAUG
This is a long non-coding RNA of Macrobrachium nipponense, 363 nucleotides long. RefSeq lists it as uncharacterized. The record is from RefSeq and is a predicted model, not a curated record. The transcript is spliced from 3 exons. Lineage: Eukaryota; Metazoa; Arthropoda; Malacostraca; Decapoda; Palaemonidae.